RNAcentral lists this ribosomal RNA (427 nucleotides) under uncultured bacterium. RNAcentral describes it as "partial 16S ribosomal RNA". It matches the Rfam family "Bacterial small subunit ribosomal RNA", at positions 355 to 774 of the family's 1533-position model. The record is from RNAcentral.
UGGGGAAUAUUGCACAAUGGGCGCAAGCCUGAUGCAGCCAUGCCGCGUGUAUAAAGAAGGCCUUCGGGUUGUAAAGUACUUUCAGCGAGGAGGAAGGCGUUGUGGUUAAUAACCGCAACGAUUGACGUUACUCGCAGAAGAAGCACCGGCUAACUCCGUGCCAGCAGCCGCGGUAAUACGGAGGGUGCAAGCGUUAAUCGGAAUUACUGGGCGUAAAGCGCACGCAGGCGGUCUGUCAAGUCGGAUGUGAAAUCCCCGGGCUCAACCUGGGAACUGCAUCCGAAACUGGCAGGCUAGAGUCUUGUAGAGGGGGGUAGAAUUCCAGGUGUAGCGGUGAAAUGCGUAGAGAUCUGGAGGAAUACCGGUGGCGAAGGCGGCCCCCUGGACAAAGACUGACGCUCAGGUGCGAAAGCGUGGGGAGCAAACA